RNAcentral lists this long non-coding RNA (5077 nucleotides) under Marmota monax (woodchuck). Lineage: Eukaryota; Metazoa; Chordata; Mammalia; Rodentia; Sciuridae. The record is from RNAcentral.
GUGUAUGUACUGAGGAUUGCCCCUGGGCAUUCAAAUGCUGGUAAAGAAUAAUUACUGUGCUGGUUAGUAAAAGUGACAACACAUGAAACUUUGCCUUGAACAGGGGAAUUGAGUGAAGUCUGGAUUUGCUUCAUUAUUCCAGGAAGAAAAUACCACUUAUUAGAAUGCUUCCCAUGGAGAUGUAUUAUUUUUCUAUUUUUAAAAAUCUUUGCUGAAAGUAUUAUUUAAAAAAAGGAAGUCAUUCACUCAACAGUUUUGGGCAAUAGAAUUGUGAUUCCUGUCUUAAUAUGGUUUACCAAUUAGUAGAAAAUUUUGGUUACGACUGAAUAUUAAAAAUGCUGUGAUGAAAUAAUUCCAGGUGUUGUAAACACACAAUGGGGAGAAGCACCUAGCCCUGCAUUUGGAGGCAAGGGAAUGCUUUCCAAGAAGGGGAAUUUCAAACCGUGUCCUAAAAAUGAUAGGAAUUAGGAACAAGAAGAUUUUUUCCAGGCAGAGGAAGCAUCAUACAUAAAGACAGAGGGACCUAAGAGAUGCUGGUACAUUUUGAGGAACUCAGAGGCAUUCUGCUUAGUGAAAGACUACAGGCAAUGGACAAAGACUGGCCAGUUGUGGCCAGGGCAUGAAAAGCCAUAUAAACCACAUAAAGGAUCCUUAGGGACUGGGAUUCUUUUUUUAAAAAAAUUUUUUAAUAUUUAUUUUUCAAGUAUCGGCGGACACAACAUCUUUGUUUGUAUGUGGUGCAUGAGGAUCGAACCCAGGCCGCACGCAUGCCAGGUGAGCGCGCUACCACUUGAGCCACAUCCCCAGCCCCAGGGACUGGGAUUCUAUCAUUGGAUUAAAUUUGGGGAAUGACACCUGAGAUUUGAAUUGCAGAAGGAUUUGGAAAGUGGGUGAUGGAGACUGUUUCAGCAUGUGCAAGUGCCCUGAGGUAGAAAGAUUCGGGCAUGAACAUGGAACCUAAAAGGCUAGUUUGAUUGGAAUAUAACUGUGUGAGGGAGAAGGGGGCAGUGAAGACUAGAGGCGAGUCUCCAUUUUGAAUCCUGUAGUCUGUUAAUGAUUAUUUUUUUAAUCCUAGAAAAUCAUAACUUUAGCUUCUCUGUAGCAAAUGGACUUGGAGCAGGGACGACAAGAGUCGAAAAGAGGAACCAGUCAGGGAGCCGUUAAAAGAGACCUCUUUUUGGACUAAGAGUCAAAUGGUGAAACAUGGAGAGAAGGAGAUCAGUUUACGUGAUUUUGAAGAGCUUGUUAGAGGUCAAGGAAGAGGGAUUAAAAGGAGUGCGGGUAUUUAUUUCCAGGCUGGUGUUUGGUUUCAGUCAUCGGGUCCUGACUCACAUGGCUGUCCACAGAACAGGCUGGUCUGGGAGACAGAGAAGGACAGCCUUGGAAUGCUCCUGCCUGUGCCCAAAUGCUGACAAGACGACUUGUUGGGCCCCUCCAGAGGAGCGCCUUACUGUUGGACAAGAAAGAAGCGGGGCUGGGUAGGGAUCAUAAAGCUUGCUUGCUCCUGGAGCUCUGAUCCUCCUCCUCCCCUUUCUUCUCUGAUUCAUUGAUCUUGUUCCCAGCCUCUGGAGCCUCGUAGAACAAGCGUGAUCACUCUUCACAUGACAGAUAUUCUAAGGCAGCUGACGUGUUCACUGGUCCUCCUCAAGUUCACAUCCCUGUUCCUUCAGCCGUUCCUCCUGACUUUUAUGUUUGAAGCCUUUUGCCAGGCCGUCAGUCACCUUCCUUCAGACACAUUCCGUUGUGCAGUGUCUUUCCUAAAACGUGACAGAUUGCUGCUGGCGCUCACCUUGACAACAGAAACGAAGGCCUUUGGAGAAAAUGAUACCGAUCCUUUCUUCAACAUUGUGUUUGCAUUAGUAUAUCCUCAUAGAACAAGGUUGAAAAAACACAGAAAACAUAAGGAAGAAAAAUUUAAAUUCCUGUAAUAAUACUACCCAUAAAUAAUUAGCUUAAAUUUUGGUUUUGUUUCCCAUAGUCUUUUCUAUAUAUGUAUUUGUUAUUGUCUUAAAAAUCAAUACAGGUGGACCUUUUGCUUUUAUGUUCAACUGUUUUUUUAUGUUGGUAAAAGUUCUAAUUGGACUAAUUAGGCUGUGCAGAGCACUUGCCUAGCACAUGAAGUCCUGGGUUCUAUCGUCAGCACCACAUGAAAAUAAACAAAUAAAAAUAAAGGCAUGCUGUCCAUCUACAACUGUAAAAUUUUUUUUUUAAAGUUCUAAUCACCAUUAUUUUGUUUGACCACUUGCUGAUGUAAUGAAUUGUUUCUAGUUUUUCACUUUUAUAAAUAACAUGCAUUUGCACGUACACAACAGCACCUCAGCACACACGUCUUUUUUCUUGUCUCAUCUCCUCGGCGUAGAUGCCUCUGGUGGAAUUACUGGGUACAGAUGUAUUCUGGGUGCUUGGUCCUCUAGGAGGGCUUCACUCAUCUCUCUCUUCACUCUCCAACAAGGAUAGGUGAACCCGUCCAUUUCAGUAUACCUUGCCCCAUUCUAGAAGGAUAAGACAAAUGGUGACAGGCCCUAAGUAUGAGGAGGGCAGGUGUAGGUGAGACCUGGCUUAAGCAGCUUGCAUUUUUGAGUGCUCAUGUGUCAAGCAUUUGCUAAGCCUGUUGCAUAUAUUUAAAUGAAGUACUUCUCAUACCAGCCCUACACAUCGUAUGCUGCUACAGAUAAAGAAAUAGACACUCAGCAAAGUGGCCUGCCAAAGGCCACAGAUAGCUUCAGUGUAAAGAUAAUUUAGGCAUCAGUAACAGAAUAGUUGACUAAAGUGGGUUUUAAUUCUAGGUUUUUGUUUAGUAAUCCUUUUUCCUUCAUGUGUAAUGUAGAUACAGAAAAGUGUACACACCUUUAAUGGUAUUAUUUGAUGAAUUGUCAUAGUUCCCACCUCAGUAGCACCGUCCAGUCAAGGAAUGGACUAUUAUCCAUGUAAAGCAUCCUCCAGGUCCCUGCCUGUCAACAUUCACCUCCACAAGAUGAGCCAUCCUCAUUCCUAACGUUAUAGAUCCUGUUUGCCUGUUUUUGAACCUUAUGUAAAUGAAAUUUUUGUGGACAUAUUCCUUAUUAAUUUUUUCUCCUUUCCCUCAACAUUUGAUUCUGAGAGUAAUUUAUUUUGUGUAGCAGUGAUGUGUGCACUUUUAUUUCUGGAGAGCAUUCAUCUUGUAUGACCACACCACAAUUCAUCAUUUUACUGUUGUUGAUGGACUUUUAUGUUGUUUCUGGUUUGUGACUCCAAUGAAUGGUGCAAUUUGGAACACUUUUGUACAGCAAAAGAUAACAUGUGCUUUUGGCCUGGGAUGUGGUUAUGUAAUUCUCUGUUUUUCUGUGUCUAAAAUAUUUAUUUGAAACUAUUCGUGUGUGUGUGUGUGUGUCACAUGUACUGUGUGCUUCCAGAAAGGAACACAGUUGGGAUCUCUGCUCAAGGGAAGGGCUGAAGAUCUCCACAUCAGAAGAAGUCCCUCUUGGAGGGAUGCUUGCCUCAGUGAAUGGGACAUUAACUCUGCUGCUGGCAGCUACCAACAGGAGCAGCUUCAGGAGGAAGAAUGUUUCUCUAAUUUAAUUAUGAAUCUCAGGGAAGCAUAUCAUGAUCCUCUUCAACCUGCUGUGCUGAGUGGCAGGAUGCCACUGGAUGUCUACCAGGUAGAGGAAGGGGCAAGGGAGUGUGUACAUCUUUACACUCUGCGACGGAAGCAUAUCUCCACACACAGAGUCAACUACAGAGAUUCGGGUCCCAAAUUUGGUCAGACCCCUAAAUCAUUUAUCUCUACAUUUUGAAGAUUUCAAGAGCAUAUUGUGAAGUUGGACAGACUGAGGGUAUCACAAUCCUGCUGUGCCUAGGGCAGUUCCACUUACACCUGUUCUUUUGGUGCCACUGUUAAUAGCACCUCCUUGGGUCCUAGUAAUGUCCUGGCUUUUAUGAUGAGUUAUAAGGUCCCCUACUUAGACAUGGUGAUUGAGGUUCUGCCACUUAGGUGCAUUGUGACCUCAGACAAGUUACUCUGCUUCUCCAAGUUUUGUGUUCCAUACCUGCCACAUAGGGUUGUAGUAAAUCUUAAAUAAGGAUGCAACGUACUUAGUUCUGUCUUGGUUCAGAAAAAGGAUGCAGACUUCAGACCUUAAGGCCUUUUACAUUUUAUCUUGGCUACUGUUACCAUUGUAACUAGAAUUGUCUUCAAGCAUGAUGAUGAAUUGUGAAUGAGACAAAAGAAGCUGGGAAGCUGUACAUUUUCUCCAUCUUACCCCUAAAAAGAAUUUGCUUUACUUCCCAGGAUAGGAGGAGUAAUUGGCUUUCCUUCAGGGUUGUACUGCAAAUGUGGAAGCUAAUGACAUUUGAAUGUGAACUCACCAUUGGUUAAACAGGGUUGGGUUUAAAUGCCUUGGUCUGCACUUCAGGGGGUGAUAAGGAAAUCUUGAGAUGGUAUUCACUAUUAUCAGUGGAGUGACCAUCCAGUCUGGUUGAGGCCUGUUGCCUUCUGUCAGCCUUUAAUAGCAUUCCCUUUGCCUCUCAAAGGUCUCCCAUUUCAGGUCUGCAUAGGACCACCCUGAGAUGAGGAGUCAGACCAGAAACAGGGCAAAAAGAUCCAUAAGCAGGACAUUCCAGAUACUAUUAUAUGGGAAAUGUGAAAUGAAUGAAGUAUAAUUAUCUGUGUUAAAUAUGGAUAAAGCUCCAAAUAAAUGUUGAAUGGGAAAGCAAAUUGCAGAGGGGUACCUACUGUAUAAUUUCAUUUAUGAAAAGUUAAAUGAUUUAAGCAAAGUUAAAUAAUUUAUUGCCUGAGGACACAUAGAUAUUUGAUGAAAAUAUAAAGAAAAGCAAAGGGGUGAUUAAUUCAAAAUUCAGAUUGGUGGUUAUCUGCAUGGGGGUGGGGGAGGUCAUAGAAAGAUGCCUGGCUUCAAAGAUGUAUUUUAUACUAUUUCUCAGCUGUGAAAUUGGUAUAUGAAUGUUUCAUUAUUGUUCUUUUAUUUAAAAUGUGCCUACAUGUUAGGAUUCUUUUGGAUUUAUUGUGCUGUUUUACCAGAAGAAAUAAAAUAAUGUACACAGAGUAAAAUAAAAAUAAAACAUGAUAUUGCAUUAUGUCAAA